AUUGAAACAUUCGCUCCCGUACGAUAACCGAACUUAAGCAAUGUCAGGCCUGGUCAGUAACUAGAUGGGUGACCUCUUGGGAAUACCAGGUCCUGUCA
This is a non-coding RNA of Acanthosepion pharaonis, 98 nucleotides long. Lineage: Eukaryota; Metazoa; Mollusca; Cephalopoda; Sepiida; Sepiidae. The record is from the annotation of a GenBank genome assembly.